GCUUGCUCCUUGAUUCAGCGGCGGACGGGUGAGUAAUGCCUACGAAUCUGCCUGGUAGUGGGGGACAACGUUUCGAAAGGAACGCUAAUACCGCAUACGUGCUACGGGAGAAAGCACGGGACCUUCGGGCCUUGCGCUAUCAAUGAGCCUAGGUCGGAUUAGCUAGUUGGUGAGGUAAUGGCUCACCAAGGCGACGAUCCGUAACUGGUCUGAAGGAUGAUCACUCACACUGGAACUGAGACACGGUCCAGAGUCCUACGGGAGGCAGCAGUGGGGGAAUAUUGGACAUGGGCGAAGCCUGAUCCAGCCAUGCCGCGUGUGUGAGAAGGUCUUCCGAUUGUAAGGCACUUUAAGUUGGGAGGAAGGGCAGUAAGUUAUACCUUGUGUUUGACGUUACCGACAGAAUAACCCGGCUAACUCUGUGCCAGCAGCCGCGUAAUACGGAGGGUGAAGCGUUAAUCGCAAUUACU
RNAcentral lists this ribosomal RNA (470 nucleotides) under Pseudomonas putida. RNAcentral's name for it is "bacterial SSU rRNA". It matches the Rfam family "Bacterial small subunit ribosomal RNA", at positions 78 to 555 of the family's 1533-position model. Lineage: Bacteria; Pseudomonadati; Pseudomonadota; Gammaproteobacteria; Pseudomonadales; Pseudomonadaceae. The record is from RNAcentral.